GCUGGGCGUGGUGGUGCACGCCUGUAAUCCCAGCUAGUUGGAGGCUGAGGCAGGAGAAUUGCUUGAACCCAGGAGGUGGAGGUUGCAGUGAGCUGAGAUCGUGCCACUGCACUCCAGCCUGGACAUCAGAGCGAGACUCUGUCUCAA
Molecule: non-coding RNA, 147 nt
Filed under: Pan troglodytes (chimpanzee)
Lineage: Eukaryota; Metazoa; Chordata; Mammalia; Primates; Hominidae
Source: Rfam by way of RNAcentral